Molecule: ribosomal RNA, 399 nt
Filed under: uncultured bacterium
Lineage: Bacteria
Description: bacterial SSU rRNA
Rfam family: Bacterial small subunit ribosomal RNA
Source: RNAcentral
AUUGAACGCUGGCGGCAUGCUUUACACAUGCAAGUCGAGCGGCAGCGCGGGGGCAACCCUGGCGGCGAGCGGCGAACGGGUGAGUAAUGCAUCGGAACGUACCCUGGAGUGGGGGGAUAACGCCGCGAAAGCGGCGCUAAUACCGCAUAUGCUCUGAGGAGGAAAGUGGGGGACCGCAAGGCCUCACGCUCUGGGAGCGGCCGAUGUCUGAUUAGCUAGUUGGUGGGGUAAAGGCUUACCAAGGCGACGAUCGGUAGCUGGUCUGAGAGGAUGAUCAGCCACACUGGGACUGAGACACGGCCCAGACUCCUACGGGAGGCAGCAGUGGGGAAUUUUGGACAAUGGGGGCAACCCUGAUCCAGCCAUGCCGCGUGAGUGAAGAAGGCCUCGGUUGUAAGA